ACUGAUGUUGCUAAGGCGCGGUCUGAGGGAGUCCGCCACCGUGGGAUUGAGGCACGACGGGUCCUCGAGGGCAGCCAGUGGGAAUUUCCCCAAUGGGGGAAUCUUAUGCAGCCAUACGCGUGGUGAAAGAAGGCCUUCGGGUUGUAAAGCUAUUUUAUGUAGGGGAGGGAACGUUCCGUAGUGAAUAACUGUGGCUCUUUGACCGUUACCUGCCAGAGGAAAGCCCCGGUAAUUUCGUGUCAAGCAGCCGGCGGUAAUACGGAGGGGUGCAAGCCGUUAUUCGGGAUUUAUUGGGGGUUAAGGGGACGCCAGGUGGUUUAUUAAAGUCGAUGUGGAAGCCCCCGGGUUCAACCUUGGAAUGUCCAUUAGAUACUCGUAGAUUGAAUUUCGUAGGAGGAAGUGAAUUUCAUGGGUAGCGGGGGAAAGGGUAGAGAUUUGGAGGAAAUCCCGUUGGGGAGGGGGCCCUUUUGGCAUAAUAUGGCCCUCAGGGGCAAAGCCUUGGGGACCAACAAGAUUAGGUUUCCCUUGUUAUUCCCGCCGUUAACGAUGGUGAAUUAGAGGUUGUGGCCUUUCGGCCUUUAGUGGCGAAGUUAACGCCUUAAGCAAUCCGCCUGGGGGGUACGGCCGCAAGGCUAAAACUCAAAGGAAUUGCCGGGGGCCCCCCCAAGCGGUGGGCCAUGUGGUUUAAUUGGAAGCAACGGGGAGAACCUUACCCGGCCUGGACAUUCUUGAAUCCUCCCUGAGAUUGGGGGUUUCUUUGGGGAUCCGAGCUCCAGGGUUCCCUGGUUGUGGUUAGUUGUUUUGUGAGGAUUUGGUUAAGUUCCGCAAAGGAACCAAACCCUUUCCUUUAUUUCCGCCCGUAAAGGUGGGAACUCAAGGGAGACUGCCGGUGAUAAACCGGAGGAAGGCGGGGAUGACGUCAAGUCAUCAUGGCCCUUACGGCCAGGGCUACACACGUGCUACAAUGGCGGGUACAAAGGGUUGCAAGCUAGCGAUAGGGAGCGAAUCUCAAAAAGCGUUUCGUAGUCCGGAUUGGAGUCUGCAACUCGCCUCCAUGAAGUCGGAAUCGUUAGUAUUCGCGGAUCAGAAUGCCGCGGGGAAUACGUUCCCGGGCCUUUUUCACACCGCCCGUCACACCAUGAGAGUUGGUACCACCCGAAUUAUAUAGUUUAACCUUUUGAGCCCGCCUACCACGGUGUGACUAGAGACUGGGGGAAGUAAGAUACUUCCAUACCUUGGUUCC
This 1243-nucleotide ribosomal RNA is filed under the name Aeromonas taiwanensis. RNAcentral's name for it is "partial 16S ribosomal RNA". It matches the Rfam family "Bacterial small subunit ribosomal RNA", at positions 267 to 1533 of the family's 1533-position model. The record is from RNAcentral. Lineage: Bacteria; Pseudomonadati; Pseudomonadota; Gammaproteobacteria; Aeromonadales; Aeromonadaceae.